UCAUCUUGGCAGGGUGCAAUGUGGUGUUCGGGAGGGUCCAUUCGCGCCUUGAGCUCUGGUGUCCAAGUCCCCCUGACCGGGGCCAUCGCCCAUUGAGGGUGCAAGGCCCUGUUGGGCAGGGCUGUGUCUCCGAUCUCGGCGCGUUGGGUCCCUUCCUUGGAGUCGGGUUGCUUGAGAGUGCAGCCCAAAGUGGGUGGUAAACUCCACCUAAGGCUAAAUACUUUCCACGAGACCGAUAGCAAACAAGUACCGUGAGGGAAAGUUGCAAAGAACUUUGAAGAGAGAGUUCACGAGUGCAUGAAACCGUUCUGAGGUAAACGGGUGGGAGCUCAAAUGUCCAAAGGACGGGGAGGGAUUCAACUUGGAGUGGCUGCUGGCCUAGCCGGUUCUCGUCUGGGCAUUCUGGCCUCCCUUCUCAGGGAGUGCCGGCCGUCCCGCGUUCUGCUCCAGCCGUAAUCCGCCGUGCCUUGUGCAUUUCCCUAUUCCCCCUCUACUACUAGGACGCCGCGACAAACUGUCGAGGGGAGCCCAGGAGCUGGUUGGAGCAGUUGCACUUACUAGCAAGGGAUUCCUUCUCUGCGUCCCGUCUGUCUGUCUCCUUCCACCCGCGGGUCGCUCCCUCCAGCGGUAGGAACUGUUCCAGCUGGCCCCUUGUGGUCCCUAGUCCAUGUGGGUGCCCACGAUCUGUCAGCACGGAAAGAAAGAUCCCAACGGGUGGCGCCGGGUGGCCGCGCGCCAAUCUUCUUGCUACGCGUGCGGACUCCCGUGUGUCAGCCGCCUUCGGUCAGGGUGCGGACUCCUGCAGUAGGGGCGCUAGGCGCAUCGGCGGCGAGUAGGUAGGUUUCCCACCCGACCCGUCUUGAAACACGGACCAAGAAGUCUAACGUGUGGGCGAGUAUUCGGGGACUUUUUGAACCUUUGGAAGGCGAUAAUAAAAGCAGAAGGCAGGGUAGUCCCGCUCUCCCUCCCCUACGGGGUGCGGAUGAGCGCGGGCGGCCCGCCCGAGUGGGAUCCCCCGUCUGAUGGCGGGGGCGCAC
Molecule: ribosomal RNA, 1037 nt
Filed under: Rudiloria rigida
Lineage: Eukaryota; Metazoa; Arthropoda; Diplopoda; Polydesmida; Xystodesmidae
Description: partial large subunit ribosomal RNA
Rfam family: Eukaryotic large subunit ribosomal RNA
Source: RNAcentral